Molecule: transfer RNA, 74 nt
Filed under: Pseudogymnoascus destructans
Lineage: Eukaryota; Fungi; Ascomycota; Leotiomycetes; Thelebolales; Thelebolaceae
Description: partial tRNA-OTHER
Rfam family: tRNA
About the family: Transfer RNA (tRNA) molecules are approximately 80 nucleotides in length. Their secondary structure includes four short double-helical elements and three loops (D, anti-codon, and T loops).
Source: RNAcentral
CUAUGCUGUAGACUAAUAGGCAAGUCAUAGGUUUUUGAUGCUUAUUAUUGGGUGUUCGAAUCACUUCAGCAUAA